Molecule: transfer RNA, 61 nt
Filed under: Proterops sp. QL-2014
Lineage: Eukaryota; Metazoa; Arthropoda; Insecta; Hymenoptera; Braconidae
Description: tRNA-Ala
Source: RNAcentral
AGAAUAAUAGUUUAUAUAAAACGUUUAAAUUGCAUUUAAAAAAUAUUAUUAAUUUAUUUUA